ACGGUAGCAGGAAGUGCUUGCACUUUGCUGACGAGUGGCGGACGGGUGAGUAAUGCUUAGGGAUCUGCCUUUUGGUGGGGGACAACAGUUGGAAACGACUGCUAAUACCGCAUGAUACCGCAAGGUCAAAGGGGGCUUCGGCUCUCGCCAAGAGAUGAACCUAAGUGAGAUUAGCUAGUUGGUAGGGUAAUGGCCUACCAAGGCGACGAUCUCUAGCUGGUCUGAGAGGAUGACCAGCCACACUGGGACUGAGACACGGCCCAGACUCCUACGGGAGGCAGCAGUGGGGAAUAUUGGACAAUGGGGGCAACCCUGAUCCAGCCAUGCCGCGUGUGUGAAGAAGGCCUUCGGGUUGUAAAGCACUUUCAGACGUGAGGAAAGGUUAGUAGUUAAUACCUGCUAGCUGUGACGUUAGCGUCAGAAGAAGCACCGGCUAACUCCGUGCCAGCAGCCGCGGUAAUACGGAGGGUGCGAGCGUUAAUCGGAAUUACUGGGCGUAAAGCGCACGCAGGCGGUUUGAUAAGCGAGAUGUGAAAGCCCCGGGCUCAACCUGGGAACUGCAUUUCGAACUGUCAGACUAGAGUCUUGGAGAGGGGAGUGGAAUUCCAGGUGUAGCGGUGAAAUGCGUAGAGAUCUGGAGGAACAUCA
This 648-nucleotide ribosomal RNA is filed under the name Pseudobowmanella zhangzhouensis. Its description in RNAcentral is "bacterial SSU rRNA". It matches the Rfam family "Bacterial small subunit ribosomal RNA", at positions 66 to 711 of the family's 1533-position model. Lineage: Bacteria; Pseudomonadati; Pseudomonadota; Gammaproteobacteria; Alteromonadales; Alteromonadaceae. The record is from RNAcentral.